Molecule: small nuclear RNA, 109 nt
Organism: Dipodomys ordii (Ord's kangaroo rat)
Lineage: Eukaryota; Metazoa; Chordata; Mammalia; Rodentia; Heteromyidae
Source: Ensembl
UCCCUCAAAGCAAUGAAGUAACUGUAUUAAAAUUGGGAUGAUACAAAGGAGAUGAGUGUAGCUCCUUCACAAGGAUGACAUAAAAGUUUCUCAGGUAUUCCCUACUUUU